RNAcentral lists this ribosomal RNA (253 nucleotides) under uncultured bacterium. RNAcentral's name for it is "partial 16S ribosomal RNA". It matches the Rfam family "Bacterial small subunit ribosomal RNA", at positions 524 to 776 of the family's 1533-position model. The record is from RNAcentral.
UACGAAGGGGGCUAGCGUUGUUCGGAAUUACUGGGCGUAAAGCGCGCGCAGGCGGUCUUCCAAGUCAGUGGUGAAAGCCCGGAGCUCAACUCUGGAACUGCCAUUGAAACUGUAAGACUUGAGGAUGAGAGAGGUGAGUGGAAUUCCCAGUGUAGAGGUGAAAUUCGUAGAUAUUGGGAAGAACACCGGUGGCGGAGGCGGCUCACUGGCUCAUAUCUGACGCUCAGGCGCGACAGCGUGGGGAUCAAACAGG